CCUACGGGUGGCAGCAGUGGGGAAUAUUGCACAAUGGGGGAAACCCUGAUGCAGCGACGCCGCGUGAGUGAAGAAGUAUUUCGGUAUGUAAAGCUCUAUCAGCAGGGAAGAAAAAAGACGGUACAUGACUAAGAAGCCCCUGCUAACUACGUGCCAGCAGCCGCGGUAAUACGUAGGGGGCAAGCGUUAUCCGGCUUUACUGGGUGUAAAGGGAGCGUAGACGGCGCGGCAAGUGUGAAGUGAAAGGCCGGGGCUUAACGCCUGAACUGCUUUGGAAACUGCCAUGCUAGAGUGCUGGAGAGGUAAGUGGAAUUCCUGGUGUAGCGGUGAAAUGCGUAGAUAUUGGGAGGAACACCAGUGGCGAAGGCGGCUUACUGGACAGUAACUGACGUUGAGGCUCGAAAGCGUGGGGAGCAAACAGGAUUAGAUACCCGGGUAGUC
RNAcentral lists this ribosomal RNA (441 nucleotides) under uncultured bacterium. RNAcentral describes it as "partial 16S ribosomal RNA". It matches the Rfam family "Bacterial small subunit ribosomal RNA", at positions 338 to 795 of the family's 1533-position model. The record is from RNAcentral.